Molecule: ribosomal RNA, 440 nt
Filed under: uncultured bacterium
Lineage: Bacteria
Description: partial 16S ribosomal RNA
Rfam family: Bacterial small subunit ribosomal RNA
Source: RNAcentral
CCUACGGGGGGCAGCAGUGGGGAAUAUUGCACAAUGGGGGGAACCCUGAUGCAGCGACGCCGCGUGAGUGAAGAAGUAUUUCGGUAUGUAAAGCUCUAUCAGCAGGGAAGAAAAUGACGGUACCUGACUCAGAAGCCCCGGCUAACUACGUGCCAGCAGCCGCGGCAAGACGUAGGGGGCAAGCGUUAUCCGGAUUUACUGGGUGUUAAGGGAGCGCAGGCGGCUGUGCAAGUCUGGAGUGAAAGGCGGGGGCCCAACCCCCGGACUGCACUGGAAACUGUAAAGCUGGAGUGCAGGAGAGGUAAGCGGAAUUCGUGGUGUAGCGGUGAAAUGCGUAGAUAUUAGGAGGAACACCAGUGGCGAAGGCGGCUUACUGGACUGCAACUGACGUUGAGGCACGAAAGCGUGGGGAGCGAACAGGAUUAGAUACCCUGGUAGUC